Zootermopsis nevadensis is the source of this 538-nucleotide non-coding RNA. Lineage: Eukaryota; Metazoa; Arthropoda; Insecta; Blattodea; Termopsidae. The record is from RefSeq and is a predicted model, not a curated record.
UGUCAGUAUCAGCUUGUACUGUUUACUACGCAGCUCUAGCAUGUUGAAAAUUUGUCACGGUUUGAAUACCGGUAAACACGUAAUAAGAAGAAGUAUAUAUGGCGAGUGUUAAGAUGUACCAGAUGGUACAGUACACAUAAUUACACGCGGUUUCAUUUGUUUUCUCCCUUGUAUGUCGCAUGUAAACUACGCCGAGCUAUAUUGUUAGUAGAAUGGAUCAGUACUAUAAGUAUUAUGUAUAUUAAAUAGUAAUUUGCGUUACUGUUUAGGGAGCUUAAGUGACAACAUUUACGACAUUGAUGCCCCUUCGACAUUCAUCCGGGGACGUUUCUCAACCAUCAAAGCAGAUGGUGCCAUCGCAGCGUACAGACGUCCAUCAACCGUCAAAGUAUGCACAGUGAGUGCCUUAGGGGAGUUAUUUGCCGCCUGUUCCAGUUUUUACACUUUUCUAAGUCUCUUGACGAGAGAGCCUCCGAGAGUACUUCAGUAAAUACGGCGAAAUCACGGAAGUGAUGGUCAUGAAGGACCCUACAACCAG